GAGUAAACGCUGGCGGUAGGCCUAACACAUGCAAGUCGAACGGCAGCCCAGUAAGAGCUUGCUCUUACGGGUGGCGAGUGGCGGACGGGUGAGGAAUACAUCGGAAUCUACUUUUUCGUGGGGGAUAACGUAGGGAAACUUACGCUAAUACCGCAUACGACCUACGGGUGAAAGCAGGGGAUCUUCGGACCUUGCGCGAUUGAAUGAGCCGAUGUCGGAUUAGCUAGUUGGCGGGGUAAAGGCCCACCAAGGCGACGAUCCGUAGCUGGUCUGAGAGGAUGAUCAGCCACACUGGAACUGAGACACGGUCCAGACUCCUACGGGAGGCAGCAGUGGGGAAUAUUGGACAAUGGGCGCAAGCCUGAUCCAGCCAUACCGCGUGGGUGAAGAAGGCCUUCGGGUUGUAAAGCCCUUUUGUUGGGAAAGAAAAGCAGCAGGUUAAUACCCCGCUGUUCUGACGGUACCCAAAGAAUAAGCACCGGCUAACUUCGUG
This 493-nucleotide ribosomal RNA is filed under the name uncultured bacterium. RNAcentral's name for it is "partial 16S ribosomal RNA". It matches the Rfam family "Bacterial small subunit ribosomal RNA", at positions 27 to 507 of the family's 1533-position model. The record is from RNAcentral.